Molecule: ribosomal RNA, 389 nt
Filed under: Trithemis arteriosa (red-veined dropwing)
Lineage: Eukaryota; Metazoa; Arthropoda; Insecta; Odonata; Libellulidae
Description: partial 12S ribosomal RNA
Source: RNAcentral
GCUCUUGAAACCCAAAGAAUUUGGCGGUAUUUUAUUCUUUUUAGAGGAACCUGUCCUGUAAUUGAUAGUCCACGAUGGAGAGUUACUUAUUUUUGUUUUCAUUCUGUAUACCUCCGUCAUCAGAAUAUCUUUUUAGAGAUAAUAUUCUAUUAACACUAAAUGAGAUAUGUCAGGUCAAGGUGCAAUUUAUGAAUAAGUAGAGAUGGGUUACAAUAAAAAUAUUUAUACGAAUUAUAAUUAUUAAUUAUUUAUAUGAAGGUGGAUUUAAAAGUAAAAUUGUUCACUUCUCAAUUUGAUUUUAGCUCUAAAAUAUGCACACAUCGCCCGUCGCUCUUAUUUUAAAAUAAGAUAAGUCGUAACAUAGUAGAUGUACCGGAAGGUGUAUCUAG